AUUGAACGCUAGCGGGAUGCUUUACACAUGCAAGUCGAACGGCAGCGCGAGAGAGCUUGCUCUCUUGGCGGCGAGUGGCGGACGGGUGAGUAAUAUAUCGGAACGUGCCCAGUAGCGGGGGAUAACUACUCGAAAGAGUGGCUAAUACCGCAUACGCCCUACGGGGGAAAGGGGGGAUUCUUCGGAACCUCUCACUAUUGGAGCGGCCGAUAUCGGAUUAGCUAGUUGGUGGGGUAAAGGCUCACCAAGGCAACGAUCCGUAGCUGGUUUGAGAGGACGACCAGCCACACUGGGACUGAGACACGGCCCAGACUCCUACGGGAGCAGCAGUGGGGAAUUUUGGACAAUGGGGGAAACCCUGAUCCAGCCAUCCCGCGUGUAUGAUG
This 386-nucleotide ribosomal RNA is filed under the name Alcaligenes sp. RNAcentral describes it as "bacterial SSU rRNA". It matches the Rfam family "Bacterial small subunit ribosomal RNA", at positions 30 to 410 of the family's 1533-position model. The record is from RNAcentral. Lineage: Bacteria; Pseudomonadati; Pseudomonadota; Betaproteobacteria; Burkholderiales; Alcaligenaceae.